UGCCCUGCAACUCUUAUCCCUACCUCCUCGCGGUACCGGUCGGAAAUUAUGAACAACCUUAGGGAAGAUCGGGUAACCAACCCCGGUGGGAACUUUGGUCGUAGGCUGACAGGGAAGG
Aedes albopictus (Asian tiger mosquito) is the source of this 118-nucleotide non-coding RNA. Lineage: Eukaryota; Metazoa; Arthropoda; Insecta; Diptera; Culicidae. The record is from Rfam.